GUGCUUGCUUUGGCAGCACAUAUACUAAAAUUGGAAUGAUCCAGAGGUUAGCAUGGCCCCUGCACAAGGAUGACACACAAAUUCAUGAAGUGUUCCAUAUCUGC
Small nuclear RNA from Zalophus californianus (California sea lion), 104 nucleotides. The record is from Ensembl. NCBI's taxonomy places the organism in Eukaryota, Metazoa, Chordata, Mammalia, Carnivora, Otariidae.